Molecule: ribosomal RNA, 393 nt
Filed under: Enterococcus faecalis
Lineage: Bacteria; Bacillati; Bacillota; Bacilli; Lactobacillales; Enterococcaceae
Description: partial 23S ribosomal RNA
Rfam family: Bacterial large subunit ribosomal RNA
Source: RNAcentral
GUGCGUAAUAGCUCACUGGUCGAGUGACUCUGCGCCGAAAAUGUACCGGGGCUAAACGUAUCACCGAAGCUGCGGACUGUUCUUCGAACAGUGGUAGGAGAGCGUUCUAAGGGCUGUGAAGCCAGACCGGAAGGACUGGUGGAGCGCUUAGAAGUGAGAAUGCCGGUAUGAGUAGCGAAAGAGGGGUGAGAAUCCCCUCCACCGAAUGCCUAAGGUUUCCUGAGGAAGGCUCGUCCGCUCAGGGUUAGUCGGGACCUAAGCCGAGGCCGAAAGGCGUAGGCGAUGGACAACAGGUUGAUAUUCCUGUACCACCUCCUCACCAUUUGAGCAAUGGGGGGACGCAGGAGGAUAGGGUAAGCGCGGUAUUGGAUAUCCGCGUCCAAGCAGUUAGGC